GUGGGGAAUUUUGGACAAUGGGCGCAAGCCUGAUCCAGCAAUGCCGCGUGCAGGAAGAAGGCCUUCGGGUUGUAAACUGCUUUUGUACGGAACGAAACGGUCCGGGUUAAUACCCUGGGCUAAUGACGGUACCGUAAGAAUAAGCACCGGCUAACUACGUGCCAGCAGCCGCGGUAAUACGUAGGGUGCAAGCGUUAAUCGGAAUUACUGGGCGUAAAGCGUGCGCAGGCGGUUUUGUAAGACAGGCGUGAAAUCCCCGGGCUCAACCUGGGAAUUGCGCUUGUGACUGCAAGGCUGGAGUGCGGCAGAGGGAGGUGGAAUUCCGCGUGUAGCAGUGAAAUGCGUAGAGAUGCGGAGGAACACCGAUGGCGAAGGCAGCCUCCUGGGAUGACACUGACGCUCAUGCACGAAAGCGUGGGGAGCAAACAGGAUUAGAAACCCCGGUAGUCC
This 450-nucleotide ribosomal RNA is filed under the name uncultured bacterium. RNAcentral's name for it is "partial 16S ribosomal RNA". It matches the Rfam family "Bacterial small subunit ribosomal RNA", at positions 354 to 796 of the family's 1533-position model. The record is from RNAcentral.